RNAcentral lists this ribosomal RNA (253 nucleotides) under uncultured bacterium. RNAcentral's name for it is "partial 16S ribosomal RNA". It matches the Rfam family "Bacterial small subunit ribosomal RNA", at positions 524 to 776 of the family's 1533-position model. The record is from RNAcentral.
UACGUAGGGACCAAGCGUUGUCCGGAUUUAUUGGGCGUAAAGAGCUCGUAGGCGGUUAUCCACGUCGGAUGUGAAAGCUCAGGGCUCAACCCUGAGAUGCCAUUCGAUACGGGAUAGCUAGAGGUAGGUAGGGGAAAGUGGAAUUCCUGGUGUAGCGGUGAAAUGCGCAGAUAUCGGGAGGAACAUCAGUGGCGAAGGCGGCUACCUGGCCCAAUACUGACACUCAGGUGCGACAGCGUGGGGAGCAAACAGG